CCAUCCUGAACGCGCCCGAUCUCAUCUGAUCUCUGAAGCUAAGUAGGGUCGGGCCUGGUUAGAACUUGGAUGGGAGACAGCCUGGGAAUACCCGAU
RNAcentral lists this ribosomal RNA (96 nucleotides) under Mus spicilegus (steppe mouse). Lineage: Eukaryota; Metazoa; Chordata; Mammalia; Rodentia; Muridae. The record is from RNAcentral.